GAAAAUCCUUGGUAGGGGGAACCUGGAAUAUUAUUUCUUUCACAGAGUCUGAGUACUAUCCCAGAUUAUAAAUUCGUGUUCCUCCUUUGUUUUCCCUGGUACUUACUACAAGACAAAUAAAAUAUGCAACUUUUAUUCUUGCUUUAUUCUUCCCUAUAAAUAUUUGAUUAGGCCACAAUGUAUUGUGCUAAUAAGCCUUACUAGCUUAUAAGGACUUGUUUUUCAGGUCAUCCUCUAAGAAGGCCUAACCACAUCCAAGGGAGUGCUGUAGCCAGACAUCAGAUCCAAAGAAGAAAAACGUGCCUGGUCUGAGAAGGACAGCUCUCAGCUUUCUAAGCUUAAAAAGGAGGGGACGGGAACCUUCACCACAGCAGAAUCACCACUGGUUGCAUGUGAAAGACUGCCGUGGAAGAUCUGUGGUUUGGAGCCAGGUGUCCCGUGCUCGAGCUCGUGGGAGCGCACUCCUGUUACCACCGGCGAUAAGGAGGUAAGCCCUGGAGAAGCUGCCUGUGACUCCAGGCCAGGAGAGCUCCAGCCGAGGCUGGCCUUGCCAGCAGCACAGGUCUGCCCAGCCUGCGUGGGCUGGGGAGGCGUGAGGAGGUGA
RNAcentral lists this long non-coding RNA (604 nucleotides) under Anser brachyrhynchus (Pink-footed goose). Its description in RNAcentral is "lncRNA (ENSABRG00000010268.1)". Lineage: Eukaryota; Metazoa; Chordata; Aves; Anseriformes; Anatidae. The record is from RNAcentral.